UAGAUUGACAUGACUCUCGGCAAUGGAUAUCUCGGCUCUCGCAUCGAUGAAGAGCGCAGCGAAAUGCGAUACGUGGUGCGAAUUGCAGAAUCCCGCGAACCAUCGAGUCUUUGAACGCAAGUUGCGCCCGAGGCCAACCGGCCAAGGGCACGUCUGCCUGGGCGUCA
This 167-nucleotide ribosomal RNA is filed under the name Phaius minor. RNAcentral describes it as "5.8S ribosomal RNA". It matches the Rfam family "5.8S ribosomal RNA". Rfam says of the family: 5.8S ribosomal RNA (5.8S rRNA) is a component of the large subunit of the eukaryotic ribosome. The record is from RNAcentral. Lineage: Eukaryota; Viridiplantae; Streptophyta; Magnoliopsida; Asparagales; Orchidaceae.